UACGAAGGGGGCGAGCGUUGUUCGGAAUUACUGGGCGUAAAGGGCGCGUAGGCGGCCGCUCAAGUCCGAUGUGAAAGUCCUGGGCUUAACCUGGGGACUGCAUUUGAUACUGAUUGGCUUGAAUUCGGGAGAGGAUAGCGGAAUUCCCAGUGUAGAGGUGAAAUUCGUAGAUAUUGGGAAGAACACCGGUGGCGAAGGCGGCUAUCUGGACCGACAUUGACGCUGAGGCGCGAAAGCGUGGGGAGCAAACAGG
RNAcentral lists this ribosomal RNA (253 nucleotides) under uncultured bacterium. RNAcentral's name for it is "partial 16S ribosomal RNA". It matches the Rfam family "Bacterial small subunit ribosomal RNA", at positions 524 to 776 of the family's 1533-position model. The record is from RNAcentral.